Molecule: unclassified non-coding RNA, 287 nt
Filed under: Hevea brasiliensis (rubber tree)
Lineage: Eukaryota; Viridiplantae; Streptophyta; Magnoliopsida; Malpighiales; Euphorbiaceae
Source: RNAcentral
GGUAAGAGUAGUGCUUGGCAUCAGUACUUCCAGCAUACAGAGAUUGCAGAUCAGAUUGACCGUGAUUUGCAGCGUACACACCCAAAUAUUAAGUUCUUUUCUGGAGACUCAUCAUUCAGUAGGAAAAACAGGGAUGCAAUGAGGAAUAUUCUUCUCCUAUUUGCAAAGCUAAAUCCUGCUAUUCGUUAUGUUCAAGGCAUGAAUGAAGUCUUGGCACCAAUAUUCUAUGUAUUUAGUACUGACACUGACCAGCAGAAUGCUGCAAAUGCAGAAGCAGAUAGUUUUUC